This 491-nucleotide ribosomal RNA is filed under the name uncultured fungus. RNAcentral describes it as "eukaryotic LSU rRNA". The stretch from base 148 to 292 matches the Rfam family "5.8S ribosomal RNA". Lineage: Eukaryota; Fungi. The record is from RNAcentral.
GGUGGUGGUGGUGUGGGGUGGUGUUGGUUAAUAACUUUUCCAGCCUCAUCUCACUCACUAAAACCCACAACAUAUGCACAGGGCCGCAAGGCUCUGAUGUUUGCGCUUGUUUGUUUGACAGAUUUAUAUGUGAUUAAAAUAAUUGACAACUUUUAACAAUGGAUCUCUUGGCUCUUGCAACGAUGAAGAACGCAGUAAAGUGCGAUGUGUAGUGCGAUUUGCAUGAAUCUGUGAGUCAUCUAAUCUUUGAACGCAACUUGCGCCUCUUUGAGGCAUGUCUGUUUGAGUGCCGCAUACAUCAAUGCAGCAAUGCGAUUUGACUGUUGUCCCCGGACUCGGUCUAAACGUAGCCAGAUAGUGGCCUGUGUGGGCUAGCUUGAGUGCUAAGCAUUCUCUGGGCUAGCCUAGAUGGGUUAUCAAUCAUCAUCAUUUAUUUGGCCUCAAAUCAGGCAAGACUACCCGCUGAACUUAAGCAUAUCAAUAAGCGGAGG